GGGCGUGUGGUCUGGUGGUAUGAUUCUCGCUUUGGGUGCGAGAGGCCCUGGGUUCAAUUCCCAGCUCGCCCC
RNAcentral lists this transfer RNA (72 nucleotides) under Saccharomyces cerevisiae YJM248. Its description in RNAcentral is "tRNA-Pro". It matches the Rfam family "tRNA". Rfam says of the family: Transfer RNA (tRNA) molecules are approximately 80 nucleotides in length. RNAcentral also lists the same sequence under 1 other name. The record is from RNAcentral. Lineage: Eukaryota; Fungi; Ascomycota; Saccharomycetes; Saccharomycetales; Saccharomycetaceae.